Molecule: small RNA, 29 nt
Filed under: Bombyx mori (domestic silkworm)
Lineage: Eukaryota; Metazoa; Arthropoda; Insecta; Lepidoptera; Bombycidae
Description: ovarian small RNA-11117
Source: RNAcentral
ACAGCUUGUGGAUCAGUCCCGCAUGCCAG